UACCAGCAUCCCGAGUGGUCGGGACGUUUAUUGGGCCUAAAGCAUCCGUAGCCGGUUCUACAAGUCUUCCGUUAAAUCCAACUGCUUAACAGGUGGGCUGCGGAAGAUACUAUGGAGCUAGGAGGCGGGAGAGGCAAGCGGUACUCGAUGGGUAGGGGUAAAAUCCGUUGAUCCAUUGAAGACCACCAGUGGCGAAGGCGGCUUGCCAGAACGCGCUCGACGGUGAGGGAUGAAAGCUGGGGGAGCAAACCGG
This 253-nucleotide ribosomal RNA is filed under the name uncultured bacterium. RNAcentral describes it as "partial 16S ribosomal RNA". It matches the Rfam family "Archaeal small subunit ribosomal RNA", at positions 474 to 727 of the family's 1478-position model. The record is from RNAcentral.